This 728-nucleotide ribosomal RNA is filed under the name Salmonella enterica subsp. enterica serovar Give. RNAcentral's name for it is "partial 23S ribosomal RNA". It matches the Rfam family "Bacterial large subunit ribosomal RNA", at positions 462 to 1191 of the family's 2925-position model. The record is from RNAcentral. Lineage: Bacteria; Pseudomonadati; Pseudomonadota; Gammaproteobacteria; Enterobacterales; Enterobacteriaceae.
AAGGCUAAAUACUCCUGACUGACCGAUAGUGAACCAGUACCGUGAGGGAAAGGCGAAAAGAACCCCGGCGAGGGGAGUGAAAAAGAACCUGAAACCGUGUACGUACAAGCAGUGGGAGCACCCUUUGGGGUGUGACUGCGUACCUUUUGUAUAAUGGGUCAGCGACUUAUAUUCUGUAGCAAGGUUAACCGAAUAGGGGAGCCGGAGGGAAACCGAGUCUUAACCGGGCGUUAAGUUGCAGGGUAUAGACCCGAAACCCGGUGAUCUAGCCAUGGGCAGGUUGAAGGUUGGGUAACACUAACUGGAGGACCGAACCGACUAAUGUUGAAAAAUUAGCGGAUGACCUGUGGCUGGGGGUGAAAGGCCAAUCAAACCGGGAGAUAGCUGGUUCUCCCCGAAAGCUAUUUAGGUAGCGCCUCGUGAAUUCAUCUCCGGGGGUAGAGCACUGUUUCGGCUAGGGGGCCAUCCCGGCUUACCAACCCGAUGCAAACUGCGAAUACCGGAGAAUGUUAUCACGGGAGACACACGGCGGGUGCUAACGUCCGUCGUGAAGAGGGAAACAACCCAGACCGCCAGCUAAGGUCCCAAAGUCAUGGUUAAGUGGGAAACGAUGUGGGAAGGCCCAGACAGCCAGGAUGUUGGCUUAGAAGCAGCCAUCAUUUAAAGAAAGCGUAAUAGCUCACUGGUCGAGUCGGCCUGCGCGGAAGAUGUAACGGGGCUAAACCAUG